AGGACAAUGAAACAAGAUACAUUCCUAGUUGUUCACGGACGCCAAAUCGAAGCAAAGAAACUUGCUUGAAAUAAGACUGUACAAUAUCAGAAAUCUUAACCGAAGAAAAGAGCCUGUAACUUCGAACAAAGAGAAAGAAACUGCAACUAAACAGCUCCUGAUCUAAUUGUUGAUUUGUAAUACCAGCACUCUGUUUAGUAGAAGAUUUAAUUUCGAGGUCAACAUGCAGAGCCACGACAAUGAACGAAAGAAACAACGUGUAACACCAUGUGUUCUCUUUGGGCUCCUUUGUUUUUUUUUGGGAGGCAUUAGCCUCAUAGGGUAUUUCCUGACUCCUGAUGACUCUGAUGAUUAUAAUCUACAUCCUGAAUAUCAGUUUAGUGACAAGCCGGAUGCCCUACCAUUUGGCAUAGUUUUUAUGUUGUUUGGAUUUUUACUUCUUGUUUGUGUCACUUGUUGUCAGAAAAAUGGUGCUGAUUGUUAAACAAAACCGACCCUAACCUCAUUCUACAUGUAUAUGUAUUGCAAAAGUAGUCUGUGUAUUUCGUUGACAUUAUUGCAAUUACAUCGUUAAGAAAUCGUUCGAAAAAUAUUUGUAACCUAUUAAGUGAAGUUACCCCUAAAGUCAUUCUAUCAGGUGGCCAAGACUAGCUGAUCACAACUGAGUCAGGUUAACGCAAAAGUUAAUAACUAAAAUACGAAGUUUUAGCAGGACUUUGUUUUGGUAGAGAUAACUUCAGUUCUGUUUUUGCUAGACCCCAAAUGGUCCAAAUAAAACAUAAACAUUCCAAGUAUCUCUUCGGAGAAUCUGAAAUAAGGUAAAGAUAAUUACAGAGCAAACAGCUACAAAUCAA
Long non-coding RNA from Pocillopora verrucosa, 854 nucleotides. RefSeq lists it as uncharacterized. NCBI's taxonomy places the organism in Eukaryota, Metazoa, Cnidaria, Anthozoa, Scleractinia, Pocilloporidae. The record is from RefSeq and is a predicted model, not a curated record.